GCCCACGUAGCUCAACGGAAGAGCGCAGGUUCUUUGAACCUGUGAUGCUGGUCCGACUCCAGCCGUGGGCA
Molecule: transfer RNA, 71 nt
Filed under: Globisporangium irregulare DAOM BR486
Lineage: Eukaryota; Oomycota; Peronosporomycetes; Pythiales; Pythiaceae
Description: tRNA-Lys for anticodon UUU
Rfam family: tRNA
About the family: Transfer RNA (tRNA) molecules are approximately 80 nucleotides in length.
Source: RNAcentral